AGGCGACACGUGGACUUUUGGGUAAAAAAGACAAAAUUACCCUUAAGGUACACUGGGAUUCCCACGCGCAUGUAACAUAUGAUAACGGCUCAAUCAAGGUCAAAGGUGAUCAAAAUGAUAUUUUUUUAAAACCCUCUCAUCAUUCCUCAUCAAAUCUUCACCCACAAGGUAACACUUAAUUAUUCUUUUCAAUUGGGAUUAAUUGCCAAAAUCAAUUGAUUAAAUACCUAAUUGAUUGCAAGAUAUUAUUUGGCAUAAUAUAUUGCAAUUAAAGCCAAAUUACCACCAUAAGUGGCUAGUCCCCAUUUCUCCAAAUAGGGCCGGCCACACGCCUAUAUAUAGCCCUUCAUUUCUUCAAAAAUCUAAGUCCAAUUCUCUUCUAAAAUUCUCUAAACACUUUCUCUCUCAAAUUCUAACUUUGGCAUCGAAGAUUCUUUGGCCAAAGCCCCCAUUCAUCGUGGGCGAGUGAGGCUCUUGACCUUGAUCUUAGGUGUUAAUUGUUUUGUAGGUGCAUUUUCGUCCAAGAAGGAGAAAGC
This 536-nucleotide long non-coding RNA is filed under the name Malus domestica (apple). Its description in RNAcentral is "long non-coding RNA (MDOM_LNC017760)". Lineage: Eukaryota; Viridiplantae; Streptophyta; Magnoliopsida; Rosales; Rosaceae. The record is from RNAcentral.